CAGAAGCAUCGUUAUUUUCAUCUGUUUUGGUGCCUUCAGAAAACUUCUGCACCAUGAACAGCGCUAUAGAAGAACAUCAGCAUUUAAGAGCAUGUGGUCCCUGUGCUCAGUUAGGAAGCAAGGUACAGGAAACAGCAAUGGCGUGAGAAAAUAUCUUGUUGACUGCUAACAAUGUGAUGGGGGUCUGCCUUGAAGAGGUGAAGUAAUUUAUACCCAUCUACCUGUGUCAUUCCAUAGCACCAGCUAUCUCUAUUUCUCUGUGAUCAAUAAAGUUUUUUGGUAGACUGA
This is a long non-coding RNA of Hipposideros armiger (great roundleaf bat), 288 nucleotides long. RefSeq lists it as uncharacterized. The record is from RefSeq and is a predicted model, not a curated record. The transcript has 2 exons. NCBI's taxonomy places the organism in Eukaryota, Metazoa, Chordata, Mammalia, Chiroptera, Hipposideridae.